GUGCGCGGCGACGGCGACAGGCAGUGGCAGUCAUGGCGGCUCAGUGCGUGAGGCUGGCGCGGCGCAGUCUUCCUGCUUUGGCGUUGUCUCUCAGACCAUCUCCCCGGUUGUUGUGCACAGCCACGAAACAAAAGAACAGUGGCCAGAACCUGGAAGAGGACAUGGGUCAGAGUGAACAGAAGGCAGAUCCUCCUGCUACAGAGAAGACCCUCCUGGAAGAGAAGGUCAAGUUGGAGGAGCAGCUGAAGGAGACUGUGGAAAAAUAUAAACGAGCUUUGGCAGACACUGAGAACUUACGGCAGAGGAGCCAGAAAUUGGUGGAGGAGGCAAAAUUAUACGGUACUUUCAACAUAACAUGGUGUUGAUUCCGGAAAGAAGAUAAUGGGGUGGGGAAGGGGAAGGCCAUGCAUACGGAAGUGUCAGAGAGCAAGGCUGUGGGGUGGGGGGUCCAGCUGUUGCAUCCCCUGCAUUUUUUUUUUUAUGAUGGCUCAACAGCAAAGGUGUCUGGAGGAGCAGAAAUCAAGUAGCUGAGACUAGCAUGAAGAAUUGUAAAUAGGUGUGUGCUCCCCCACGCAGAGACCUUGGUGGGAACCUGCAGCAGGUCAGCCUCUGAUGCCCAUCCCCUUAGCCCUCCGGAAGUAACACUGGCAUCACUUCAGAACUCCCAGCAUGCUAUAUGCAUUGCCACCUUUGGAUGUUUUUGUUACUGUCCUUCCCAUUUUACAGUUGAGAUCAUUGAGGUUUAGUCACCUGCCGCACAUCACAAAGCUGGUACGUAACCCCAGGCUCCCAGCUCCACAGGCUGGUGUUUGAGUGCUGGCCCUGGAUCUCUGCGUGACUGACAGUGGGUAUUAGAGAUGUGGAACCUAAGGCUCGAGGGAGGGUAAAUGGCCUGGCCUGGGUCAGACGGUGAGAGGCCACAUGGAAACUAAGAGCCAGAGUCUCUAUCGCAUUCACAGAGACUGAGGCGCUCAUUGAAACACUUUUAUUCCUGGAUACUGUGGCCUGUUUCUUGGUAUUCCGCCUCUUUUUGUGGUAAUGUGCUUUGUUGGUUCUUACCCUUUCCGACCUGUAAAUGCCUGGGCUCUUGGGACUCAGUACCAGACCUCUUCUCUCCCCUUGCUGUGCUCCCUGGGUGACUUACACACUCUUACGGGCUUAAUGGCAUCCACACACAAGUCUCGGCUUCAAACUCGGAUCUUCCGAGUUCCAGUCCUCUAUAUCUUACUGCUUGCUUGACAUCUGGGCUUGGAUGUCUCAAGGGUAUUUUCCCCUCUACUGCACUCCUUUCUUCACAUUUUAGUGAAUUCUAAAUUUAGUAAAUUCUGGGUCUCAUCCCACAAGUAGCUUUUGAGAGUUUUGUGUUGUUUUUUAAAGUUAUUGAGCCAUUGGAAUUCUGAGGCGAUUGAUUUGACAAGUUACUAAAUAGCCUCCACAUCAGGUCAGCAGUGCUCAGUUUGGAAUUGCCCUGUGCGGUUGGUAUGGAGUGCAAAUGAUCUUCUUUAACUUCAUCCAGGCAUUCAAGCCUUCUGCAAGGACUUGUUGGAGGUGGCAGACGUUCUGGAGAAGGCAACACAGUGUGUUCCAAAAGAAGAAAUUAAAGACGAUAACCCUCACCUGAAGAACCUCUAUGAGGGGCUGGUCAUGACUGAAGUCCAGAUCCAGAAGGUGUUCACAAAGCAUGGCUUGCUCAAGUUGAACCCUGUCGGAGCCAAGUUCGACCCUUAUGAACAUGAGGCCUUGUUCCACACACCGGUUGAGGGGAAGGAGCCAGGCACAGUGGCCCUAGUUAGCAAAGUGGGGUACAAGCUGCAUGGGCGCACUCUGAGACCCGCCCUGGUGGGGGUGGUGAAGGAAGCUUAGCUGCUGUUGAUGGGGUGGGUGUUUUUAAACUCACUUGAUGUAACUCUUAAGGCUGGUUCAUUGUUUCUCAUCUAUGAGUACGUGUGACCUUUUCCCAAACCUUAUUGGAAACCUUAAGUAACCAGUGGCGAAACAGAAAAGCCGGUUGCCCAACUGCGUUAAUGAACUCUAAUUCGGGAGUCUGUUCCCUUUUAGUGCCACGUGUUGAAUAGUUCCACAUACUUUCAGAAGAGCUCAGCAGGGCCCUGCCUGGUCUCCCGAGCAUCAUGAGUAACGUGUCUGCUCAGACUCUGCUGACACCAAAGUAUUUUAAACAAAUAAAAGGUCUUGGGG
This 2196-nucleotide small RNA is filed under the name Pan troglodytes (chimpanzee). RNAcentral's name for it is "retained intron". The record is from RNAcentral. Lineage: Eukaryota; Metazoa; Chordata; Mammalia; Primates; Hominidae.